AAAGAAAAAUGUAAAUGAGUAGAUACUGUUUGUUUUGUUAAGAAAUUGGGUAUUCGUAUAUAAUUGAAUUUAAUUGGCCACCAUGGCUGGUUUUGGUGUGGGUGAAGGCAGAGCCUCGUAAACAGGAACACCCAUAUUUUGAGGUGACAACAACUGAGCAUUUUCCGCCAUGGAAAUGGUUUUGAUUAAGUUCAACAAGAUUCUCGCCAACUCUUCUCCAUCGCUCCAUUCGUGAAUCUCUGCCUUAAUCACAAGUGGGUUUUGGCUAAUCAAGUCCCACAGUGGAAAAUUCU
Molecule: long non-coding RNA, 293 nt
Filed under: Cucumis sativus (cucumber)
Lineage: Eukaryota; Viridiplantae; Streptophyta; Magnoliopsida; Cucurbitales; Cucurbitaceae
Description: long non-coding RNA (CSAT_LNC002931)
Source: RNAcentral